UCGCGAAUAAUUCUCGCCUGUUUGAUCAGUCAAUGAUCGAAGCAGGGCUAGAAGUUCGCUAGAUAAAGACACCAGCGCGAGAACUCACAGAUCGGACUUGUUUUGCCUCUUCUGUUUUCACACCUGCUUUGCUGGUUACAUUG
Anguilla rostrata (American eel) is the source of this 143-nucleotide small nucleolar RNA. RefSeq annotates it as small nucleolar RNA SNORA72. The record is from RefSeq and is a predicted model, not a curated record. Lineage: Eukaryota; Metazoa; Chordata; Actinopteri; Anguilliformes; Anguillidae. The transcript has a single exon.